UUUUAUUUUGAUAUUAUUUUUUAUUGUUGAAAAAAUUAAUAAUAAUUUAUUGUUAAUAAAAAUUAAAAUUUAUAAUAUUUUUAUUUUUAUUUUUUAGUUUUAAAUAAAAAAAAUAAAAUUAAUAUAUAUAAAAAUUUUGUUAUAAAUUAUAAUAGUUUAUUUAUUUAUUUUUUUAUAAUAAAUAAUAGUAUUUUUUUUAUUAUUUUAUAAAAAAAAAUAAUUUAAUUAUAAUUAUUAAAAGUAAAUUUGUUAUUUAGAAUAAUAUAUUAAUAUAAAUAACAAAAAUAUUAAAUAUUUUUUAAAUUUUUUGGGGAUUUAAGUUAUAAUUUUUUGUGUCUGCUCAGUGAAUUUAAAUAGCACUUUUAGCGUGAUUGGCCAAAGGGUAAAAAAAACC
This 394-nucleotide ribosomal RNA is filed under the name Meloidogyne hapla. RNAcentral describes it as "partial 16S ribosomal RNA". The record is from RNAcentral. Lineage: Eukaryota; Metazoa; Nematoda; Chromadorea; Rhabditida; Meloidogynidae.